CGGCUCACCAAGGCAAUGAUACGUAGCCGAACUGAGAGGUUGAUCGGCCACAUUGGGACUGAGACACGGCCCAAACUCCUACGGGAGGCAGCAGUAGGGAAUCUUCCACAAUGGACGCAAGUCUGAUGGAGCAACGCCGCGUGAGUGAAGAAGGCUUUCGGGUCGUAAAACUCUGUUGUUGGAGAAGAAUGGUCGGCAGAGUAACUGUUGUCGGCGUGACGGUAUCCAACCAGAAAGCCACGGCUAACUACGUGCCAGCAGCCGCGGUAAUACGUAGGUGGCAAGCGUUAUCCGGAUUUAUUGGGCGUAAAGCGAGCGCAGGCGGUUUUUUAAGUCUGAUGUGAAAGCCCUCGGCUUAACCGAGGAAGUGCAUCGGAAACUGGGAAACUUGAGUGCAGAAGAGGACAGUGGAACUCCAUGUGUAGCGGUGAAAUGCGUAGAUAUAUGGAAGAACACCAGUGGCGAAGGCGGCUGUCUGGUCUGUAACUGACGCUGAGGCUCGAAAGCAUGGGUAGCGAACAGGAUUAGAUACCCUGGUAGUCCAUGCCGUAAACGAUGAAUGCUAGGUGUUGGAGGGUUUCCGCCCUUCAGUGCCGCAGCUAACGCAUUAAGCAUUCCGCCUGGGGAGUACGACCGCAAGGUUGAAACUCAAAGGAAUUGACGGGGGCCCGCACAAGCGGUGGAGCAUGUGGUUUAAUUCGAAGCAACGCGAAGAACCUUACCAGGUCUUGACAUCUUUUGAUCACCUGAGAGAUCAGGUUUCCCCUUCGGGGGCAAAAUGACAGGUGGUGCAUGGUUGUCGUCAGCUCGUGUCGUGAGAUGUUGGGUUAAGUCCCGCAACGAGCGCAACCCUUAUGACUAGUUGCCAGCAUUUAGUUGGGCACUCUAGUAAGACUGCCGGUGACAAACCGGAGGAAGGUGGGGAUGACGUCAAAUCAUCAUGCCCCUUAUGACCUGGGCUACACACGUGCUACAAUGGAUGGUACAACGAGUUGCGAGACCGCGAGGUCAAGCUAAUCUCUUAAAGCCAUUCUCAGUUCGGACUGUAGGCUGCAACUCGCCUACACGAAGUCGGAAUCGCUAGUAAUCGCGGAUCAGCACGCCGCGGUGAAUACGUUCCCGGGCCUUGUACACACCGCCCGUCACACCAUGAGAGUUUGUAACACCCGAAGCCGGUGGCGUAACCCUUUUAGGGAGCGAGCCGUCUAAGGUGGGACAAAUGAUUAGGGUGAAGUCGUAACAAGGUAGCCGUAGGAGAA
RNAcentral lists this ribosomal RNA (1259 nucleotides) under Lacticaseibacillus rhamnosus LRHMDP2. RNAcentral describes it as "SSU rRNA". It matches the Rfam family "Bacterial small subunit ribosomal RNA", at positions 261 to 1510 of the family's 1533-position model. The record is from RNAcentral. RNAcentral also lists the same sequence under 1 other name. Lineage: Bacteria; Bacillati; Bacillota; Bacilli; Lactobacillales; Lactobacillaceae.